RNAcentral lists this transfer RNA (71 nucleotides) under Challia fletcheri. Its description in RNAcentral is "tRNA-Gly". The record is from RNAcentral. Lineage: Eukaryota; Metazoa; Arthropoda; Insecta; Dermaptera; Pygidicranidae.
AUCUUUCUAUUAUAAUUAUUAGUAUUUUUAACUUCCAAUUAAAAGGUUUUAGCUUAAGCUAAAGUGAGAUA